UCCUUAGAUGUUAUUUUUGGAUAUACACUAUAAAAAGAAAGUCAUUCCCUCAUUUUCUCACAGACUCAUCAGAUUUCAAAAAUACACUCUAAAAAUUCAGCUGUUGUUUCUAUAGAAGCGGACUCUCUUUUCCUCUAAUUUUAGCAAAAAACUUAAAGAACUUCUUUGGGAUUUUCUGGUUUUCAUAAGUCAAAAAAUGGAUUGAAUCCGAAGCUUUCUUUUCUGGGAUUUACUGCUGCUGCUCAUGCUGUGUUGUUUAAGUUUGGGUUGAGCUCCAAAUUUCAUUAUUUUGAUCUGUACUUGGUCUUCUUUCUACUGUUCUUCUUGUUUCUGGCCAUUAGGUAUGUAGAAACUCACCUGUAGCUUCAUGUUGCAUUUAUGAAUGAAAUUUGGGACUAUCUAGUAGUGUUUUGUGUUUGAUUUCCUUACUAUGUUCCACUGAAUUUGUUCCAUAAAAAUUUUUGUUCUUUUUAUCAGCAUUCUCUUAUGCUUCUUAUGUAAACUAGUGGCCCUUGACUUAGUUAAGUUCAUAUGUGUUUCUCCUAUUUAUUUAGUUUUGUUUUUUAAAAUAAAAAUAAAGAACAAUCAGAAUACUUUUGCGCUACUGUCUGGUCAUCUGAAUUAGUGUGGUUAUCUUGAGAGUUGUCAAACUAUCUCAUGUUUAGCAUGAUUAUGUUGUGAUUUGGGUCUGUUUUGUCAAAGUUGAUAUUUCAUGUGUAAACUAACGGAUUGUAAGCUGGAAAGUGAUCAAGAUUGUUUAAUUCUAAAUAUGAAUGUAGAUAGCUAUUAACAACAGUUGGAGCAUGUGGUGUCAACUGUUAAAUUUUGUAUAGUUUCAGCCCUGUUUGAACCUUGCAGAAUCAAUAUUAAUUCAAAAAGGGUUUCCUUAUAAAGUGGUUUUGCUGAAGUAUAUGGAUUUUUGUUGAGUUUGAGAAGGCUUAAUGCUGGUUACAUGGCUAUGUCUUGCUGAUCUGACCACCAGUCGGAUCAGAUUGGUGAAGCUAAGUCUAAAAGGUGGAUUUGGAGUCAUCCAUGGAAGGGGUGUAACACAAGAUUGGUUAUGUUUUUUUUAGUUUAAUUAGCCUUAUGAACAAUCUAUGUAAAUAUUUAAGGAUUCAUGUCUAUUAUCCUUCUUGAUGAUUGUAUUGUGAUUCACCAGAUUUGCAAGUAUUAGAAAUGUAAUUAAUUUGUCUUAUCUUAGAUCAGAUAAAUAGUUCAGCUAUUCAUCUUCUCUAUUUUUAGCAUUUGUUUUAUCUGAAAACUUGAAUGGAUCAAUGCAGAUUUUUGUUUAGUAUUGCAUUGUUCCAAUUAUGACUUAAUGCAUUGGGCUUCACUGCGAGCCCAC
This 1345-nucleotide long non-coding RNA is filed under the name Nicotiana tabacum (common tobacco). RNAcentral describes it as "long non-coding RNA (NTAB_LNC006726)". The record is from RNAcentral. Lineage: Eukaryota; Viridiplantae; Streptophyta; Magnoliopsida; Solanales; Solanaceae.